GGAGGUAGAGGCCGUGCUUAGCCGGUCGAACUCCCCAGGUCAACAAACAUCUGGCUGGACCUCCGACCUCCUGAGCUCGGAUCCCAAAAAACCAACCAGACGGGUGGCCGCGCGCAUGCUUCACUAUAUGGGAGGAGGGGCGGCGGCGAAGGUGCGGAUUGAGAUCACAGCGGCGGUCACCAUCGCGAGAAGGGGAAGGUCGCCUUUAGAGAAACCUGCCCCGCCGCAUAUGCCUCUCAGCGGCGUCUACCGCCUGGCAAACUGGGCAUAGCGCUAGCACUCGCUCCUGUUCACGUUCGGCUUCUUCACGGCGGUCCUCACGUUCUUCUCAACGGGGCAACAGUUCUGGCCUUUCGAAACGUAACUUCAAUCAGGUCGCCGGUUUGAACGUAAGUAAAGACUUCUCGACACAUAACCAACACCAUAAACACAAUUCUUUACGGGUAAACUACGGUAACUUUAGUAGUUAGAAGGUUUUCUAAACCUCUUUCUAUGAUGGGUAGCGAUACCUGGCUUAUGGAAGUUUAACGUGUCCAACGGACAAGGUUCUGGACCAGUUCAAAACCCAGAACAACCUUGGUUACCUUAACCCUUCAGUUGUCGUGAAUUUCAGAAUCGACCGUUCGACUUCGGGUUAGACCCUGCUAAGUUUUUAGGUGGACUGACCGUUCUCUAGGAAUGUAUAAAGGCACCCAGACUUGAAGUCUUGAUAAAAUGCGCGUAUAACCUCCUAUUGGACUUCCGUUAGUAGUUCGGCGUCAUACAACUGGUAUAAGGUUUUCGACAAGUUCCUUUACAUCCCGUUCAUGAACUCGUCUUUCUACUCGCCCUAUACUUUUUACUCGACACGCAACUAGAACUUAACUUGGUUCAAUAACUGUCUUUACAUCCUCUAGACAGACCACCGCUCGAAGUCUCUAAACGUUAUCGUCAACAACGACAUGUUUCACGCCUUUAAAUGUACAAACUACUCGGUAGUUCAAUAAACCUGCAAUUUGUCUCCGAAUUCCGACGGGCUCAGUAAUCCAGAAACGAAUCUAGUUUGUCGAUACAGUAGCAACAGCUUGUACUGAACUCACAGAAUCUAAUGAACAGGCUGAAAUAAACGACGAAUAUACCCUUCGGUCCACGAAUGCCACAUCAAUGCAAUGGUAAAAGCCAGGCUCUUCCAUAGUUAUAAAAGGACCGACCUAAACAAGGUUGUCUUUUGGAAGCCAAAGCUCUACUUAGAGAAUGUAAAUUCUAACGCCUCUGGGUCCUUUUGCGUCUCCUUCAACGAUGCAUGGUCGCCAUGUUCAUGGGAUGGUACUCGUUUUGUGUCCCUUUAAAGUUCGAGAGACAGCAACUCCCACUUAAGUGACUAAGAGUCUAACAACACUACGAACCACUCUUGCCGUGUCCCUUUUGAUGUAAGUAGUCUUACGACCGGCCCAACAACUUCGGUCUAUGGUACCUUCCUUGACUCCAACUUUAAGGACUUAAGUUACACAGGAUGUUCGGAGUUUUCUAGUCGGGUUUUAAGGUCGUAGGUCACUCCGUGAACGAAGUAAGCUUUUAUGCGCUAAGUAUAUGAGUAGGAGUCAAACAUAGACUACAAUACUUUGGUGAUGUUUAACUCGUUGAGUACCUGGUCCUUCAAUAAUUAAAUAGUCCACCUCUCGAGGUCUCUCAUCGUAAUACAAACACGGAACCUUUCGGACGUCUAUAAAUAAAUUAACUACUCGGUUCACGUAUAGAACUAAGUCUCGUCGCAUAACAACGGAGCUUCCAAUAGUUUUCUAAGUAGGAAGUACGUUUCUUUUGACGUAAAUAACACCUCGUACUAAAGUAGUACCGUUGGAUGAAUCGCCUGUUCCAAUAACAAAUACUCCCUGAACGAAGAUAACUGACAUGACGGUUACGUGGUGUCAGAAACCAUAGACCCUACUUAUUUAAGAAUAGCGUAGAACUGUAAUGUAAAUCUUCUCUGGGCUGGUUGAUAUCCGGUGCUUAGUUGUUUGAGCUUAGUUGCUUCCUGUCUCUUGUUUUCUUACGUCCCAGGAUGAUGAUGGAUCUACUGAUUACUCUCCCCGGUCGCGUCUAAGAACAACCUGCAGUUAUUACAAGGCUUAGGAAAGACCUAGUACGCGUUCCGAUUGCUCUUCAACGGUACUGCACGCAGGUACUCUGUACGCUUAACCGGUGUCCUCACUUCGCGUAGCUCACACCACGAACCCAAAGUUUCUUCGCGUACACAACUUUGACAUGAAAAACAACCAAACUCGACACCCCUCUUGCUAAUAGUUAAAAGAACAUAAACGUAACGACAUAGUACCGAAAUGGUAGAGUAUAACAAGAUAGCACUUUAGAAUAUUACGUAUAAGAGGACCUCGAAUAAUAUCAGGAGAGUGAUCAAACAGGAGUAUAAUAUAAAAUAUAGGAGAGUGAUCAACCAAGGCAAGGAAAACUACUUACUGCUUCACACCAACCG
Molecule: ribosomal RNA, 2470 nt
Filed under: Triticum aestivum (bread wheat)
Lineage: Eukaryota; Viridiplantae; Streptophyta; Magnoliopsida; Poales; Poaceae
Description: partial small subunit ribosomal RNA
Source: RNAcentral